UGUCAAAAAAAUAUCAAGAAAUAUCCUUCUGGAUUGUACAUGUAAGUUAAUUAUAGGAUUGUGCGUCCUGUGACGUCACUGAGCCAAGUACGCUGUUAUUUUGAAAAGAGAAAAAAGAGGGAGGAAAAUAUGUUACAUGUAUUUCCUCGCAAUUUAGUCAGGACCAAACCAUCGCACUUUUCAACAACAAAAUAAUGCUUUGAAACAAACAAAAUCAAAAUCGUCCGAGCUGAAAUUUUGACAGGUGUCUUUUGAUAGCCUGCUUCAUGUUCAUUGUAUUGUUGUUCCUGGAAUCGACAUCAACUUUUUUGUGUGUGGGCUAGUCCUAAUUCAAUUUGGGGUACAAGUAACUACAUGUACAUGUAUGCUCUAUGCUACAUGAAUGUACAUGUACAUUGUAUAACAUGCAGGUGACAAGAGUUACAUAAAUCAGUCAGCGCGCAGCGUGCUCGAUAAUGAGGCACACAGCGAAGUUUUAUUUGCAGCGAGUUGUACGGUCUCGGACCUUCGAGAAUUCACGAGGUUUCGCGAGCGUUCGGCAGUGCCCCUGGAAGAUCGACGAGAAACCCGUUUUCGCGGCAGUGUUGGGCCAACAUGGAGGGGUCAAGUACGAAGAGUGAUUUACCCAUUUUCCCUGUCAAGACGGUUGGACACAACAUCCGCACUGGAAGAUGAACAUGACCAAUUUUAAUGGAACUCUAUUAUUUUACCAUGGAUUGAACUUUCCAAUUUUUGUGGUACAACCGGAUUUUGCAUGUUUAAUUCAAUGACGUGUGAUCAACAACUCACAAACUGACGAAUCAGGUGACGGGGAUUCUUACGCCAUGUCGCAUGGAAUAUUGCAUGUAUUGUUCGUUGAUAAAAAAACCUGAGGAAUAAGCACUUUCAUGGUACAUUUAAUAUGCGCCAUCUUGUUCACAUAGCAAGAAGAACAAGCAUUGCUAGAUGCGGACACAUUUUGUAAUGUACACAUUUUGGAAUGAACGCAUGAUGACUUGGAAGCACAAAAGGUUUUGUUUGAUGACGUGUAGACUGCAACGCAUGUAAAUUUGCCCGGUAAGAAAAAUGACGCAUUAC
This is a long non-coding RNA of Patiria miniata (bat star), 1077 nucleotides long. RefSeq lists it as uncharacterized. The transcript is spliced from 2 exons. NCBI's taxonomy places the organism in Eukaryota, Metazoa, Echinodermata, Asteroidea, Valvatida, Asterinidae. The record is from RefSeq and is a predicted model, not a curated record.